RNAcentral lists this long non-coding RNA (242 nucleotides) under Carica papaya (papaya). Its description in RNAcentral is "long non-coding RNA (CPAP_LNC016512)". Lineage: Eukaryota; Viridiplantae; Streptophyta; Magnoliopsida; Brassicales; Caricaceae. The record is from RNAcentral.
AAAGGUUUUUAAUACCGAUUUUAGAUUUUUUGGAGUAUUUUAAGGUAUGUAAAGUGUGUUUUAAUCUCUGAAGAAAAAUUCAGAAAACCUGGAGACUACCAGUAGGUGCAAUAGAAAUUUUGGUAUUUCAGACACCGAAUCGGGUAAGAAUCUCUUACUUUAUUCUCUGUUAUGGGAUUAAAGCUUAAUAAUCGAUAAUAUGCUAUUUUGUGUAAUUUAGAAAAUUUUGAGAAUAAUUACAG